This 500-nucleotide ribosomal RNA is filed under the name uncultured bacterium. RNAcentral describes it as "partial 16S ribosomal RNA". It matches the Rfam family "Bacterial small subunit ribosomal RNA", at positions 29 to 523 of the family's 1533-position model. The record is from RNAcentral.
AUUGAACGCUGGCGGCAUGCCUUACACAUGCAAGUCGAACGGCAGCACGGGAGCAAUCCUGGUGGCGAGUGGCGAACGGGUGAGUAAAGUAUCGGAACGUGCCCAGUCGUGGGGGACAACGUAGCGAAAGUUACGCUAAUACCGCAUACGAUCUAUGGAUGAAAGCGGGGGAUCGCAAGACCUCGCGCGAUUGGAGCGGCCGAUAUCAGAUUAGGUAGUUGGUGGGGUAAAGGCCCACCAAGCCGACGAUCUGUAGCUGGUCUGAGAGGACGACCAGCCACACUGGGACUGAGACACGGCCCAGACUCCUACGGGAGGCGGCAGUGGGGAAUUUUGGACAAUGGGCGAAAGCCUGAUCCAGCCAUGCCGCGUGCAGGAUGAAGGCCUUCGGGUUGUAAACUGCUUUUGUACGGAACGAAAAGGACUGCCCUAAUACGGUGGUCCCAUGACGGUACCGUAAGAAUAAGCACCGGCUAACUACGUGCCAGCCGCCGCCGUAA